UACAGAGGUACCAAGCGUUAGGCGGAAUCACUGGGCUUAAAGCGUGUGUAGGCGGAUGCCUAAGUACCUUGUGAAAUCCCACGGCUCACCCGUGGAACUGCUUGGUAUACUGGGUGUCUUGAGCCACUUAGGGGCUACCGGAACAAAUGGUGGAGCGGUGAAAUGCGUAGAUAUCAUUUGGAACGCCAACGGUGAAAACAGGUAGCUGGGAGUGUGCUGACGCUGAGACACGAAAGCCAGGGGAGCAAACGGG
This 253-nucleotide ribosomal RNA is filed under the name uncultured bacterium. RNAcentral's name for it is "partial 16S ribosomal RNA". It matches the Rfam family "Bacterial small subunit ribosomal RNA", at positions 524 to 776 of the family's 1533-position model. The record is from RNAcentral.